Molecule: long non-coding RNA, 422 nt
Organism: Zingiber officinale
Lineage: Eukaryota; Viridiplantae; Streptophyta; Magnoliopsida; Zingiberales; Zingiberaceae
Exons: 3
Source: RefSeq, a predicted model, not a curated record
AAAUCUGCCGACCCAGCACCGCCAUUUCUUGACCUAGCCAGUCAUUAGAAAGCUUGCUGCCAUUGUUGACGAAGCCUCAGCCCUAGCACGGUUGCCGUGAGCUCUAGUUGAGGUCGCAGGGUUCUGCCGAGCCCUAGUUUCCACUGCCGAGUUCCUUCUUCACCAAAUCCUUACGCUGUUAGGAUUUGGGUUUUUGGCGGUGUACACUGUCAGCCAUUUCUCCGGCCACAGAAGGUCACCAGCAGCUAGUUGUGAGGGGUGUUUCAGUUAGACACAAGGAACUGCCACCGUAGAGUUGCCCCUGUUCCGGCAGCCCUCAUUUCAGCAGUAAACGAUUAGCAGCAAUCAGUGGCUGUGAUUUGAGGGUUUUGACGCGAGACGAGUAUCUCGACGUUGGCUUUGGACCGGAUACGAUCCUUUCU